RNAcentral lists this ribosomal RNA (253 nucleotides) under uncultured bacterium. RNAcentral describes it as "partial 16S ribosomal RNA". It matches the Rfam family "Bacterial small subunit ribosomal RNA", at positions 524 to 776 of the family's 1533-position model. The record is from RNAcentral.
UACGUAGGGACCAAGCGUUGUUCGGAUUUACUGGGCGUAAAGGGCGCGUAGGCGGCAAUUCAAGUCAUCUGUGAAAUCUCCGAGCUUAACUUGGAAACUGCCAUUGAUACUAUCAGUCUUGAAUACCGUGGAGGUCAGCGGAAUAUGUCAUGUAGCGGUGAAAUGCUUAGAUAUGACAUAGAACACCAAUUGCGAAGGCAGCUGGCUACACGAGUAUUGACACUGAGGCACGAAAGCGUGGGGAUCAAACAGG